AUUGAACGCUGGCGGCAGGCCUAACACAUGCAAGUCGAGCGGAUGAAGGGAGCUUGCUCCUGGAUUCAGCGGCGGACGGGUGAGUAAUGCCUAGGAAUCUGCCUGUUAGUGGGGGAUAACGUCCGGAAACGGGCGCUAAUACCGCAUACGUCCUGAGGGAGAAAGUGGGGGAUCUUCGGACCUCACGCUAUCAGAUGAGCCUAGGUCGGAUUAGCUAGUUGGUGGGGUAAAGGCCUACCAAGGCGACGAUCCGUAACUGGUCUGAGAGGAUGAUCAGUCACACUGGAACUGAGACACGGUCCAGACUCCUACGGGAGGCAGCAGUGGGGAAUAUUGGACAAUGGGCGAAAGCCUGAUCCAGCCAUGCCGCGUGUGUGAAGAAGGUCUUCGGAUUGUAAAGCACUUUUAGUUGGGAGGAAGGGCAGUAAGUUAAUACCUUGCUGUUUUGACGUUACCAACAGAAUAAGCACCGGCUAACUUCGUG
RNAcentral lists this ribosomal RNA (484 nucleotides) under uncultured bacterium. Its description in RNAcentral is "partial 16S ribosomal RNA". It matches the Rfam family "Bacterial small subunit ribosomal RNA", at positions 30 to 507 of the family's 1533-position model. The record is from RNAcentral.